UGCAGUCGAGCGGUAGAGAGAAGCUUGCUUCUCUUGAGAGCGGCGGACGGGUGAGUAAUGCCUAGGAAUCUGCCUGGUAGUGGGGGAUAACGUUCGGAAACGGACGCUAAUACCGCAUACGUCCUACGGGAGAAAGCAGGGGACCUUCGGGCCUUGCGCUAUCAGAUGAGCCUAGGUCGGAUUAGCUAGUUGGUGAGGUAAUGGCUCACCAAGGCGACGAUCCGUAACUGGUCUGAGAGGAUGAUCAGUCACACUGGAACUGAGACACGGUCCAGACUCCUACGGGAGGCAGCAGUGGGGAAUAUUGGACAAUGGGCGAAAGCCUGAUCCAGCCAUGCCGCGUGUGUGAAGAAGGUCUUCGGAUUGUAAAGCACUUUAAGUUGGGAGGAAGGGCAGUUACCUAAUACGUGAUUGUUUUGACGUUACCGACAGAAUAAGCACCGGCUAACUCUGUGCCAGCAGCCGCGGUAAUACAGAGGGUGCAAGCGUUAAUCGGAAUUACUGGGCGUAAAGCGCGCGUAGGUGGUUAGUUAAGUUGGAUGUGAAAUCCCCGGGCUCAACCUGGGAACUGCAUUCAAAACUGACUGACUAGAGUAUGGUAGAGGGUGGUGGAAUUUCCUGUGUAGCGGUGAAAUGCGUAGAUAUAGGAAGGAACACCAGUGGCGAAGGCGACCACCUGGACUGAUACUGACACUGAGGUGCGAAAGCGUGGGGAGCAAACAGGAUUAGAUACCCUGGUAGUCCACGCCGUAAACGAUGUCAACUAGCCGUUGGGAGCCUUGAGCUCUUAGUGGCGCAGCUAACGCAUUAAGUUGACCGCCUGGGGAGUACGGCCGCAAGGGUUAAAAACUCAAAUGAAAUUGACGGGGGCCCGCACAAGCGG
This 883-nucleotide ribosomal RNA is filed under the name Pseudomonas sp. KOS11. Its description in RNAcentral is "bacterial SSU rRNA". It matches the Rfam family "Bacterial small subunit ribosomal RNA", at positions 56 to 932 of the family's 1533-position model. Lineage: Bacteria; Pseudomonadati; Pseudomonadota; Gammaproteobacteria; Pseudomonadales; Pseudomonadaceae. The record is from RNAcentral.